This 253-nucleotide ribosomal RNA is filed under the name uncultured bacterium. RNAcentral describes it as "partial 16S ribosomal RNA". It matches the Rfam family "Bacterial small subunit ribosomal RNA", at positions 524 to 776 of the family's 1533-position model. The record is from RNAcentral.
UACGUAGGGACCGAGCGUUGUCCGGAAUCAUUGGGCGUAAAGGGCGCGUAGGCGGCUGUACAAGUCAAAGGUGAAAUCCCUCGGCUCAACUGAGGAACUGCCUUUGAAACUGUACGGCUUGAGGCCGGGAGGGGGUAGCGGAAUUCCCAGUGUAGCGGUGAAAUGCGUAGAUACUGGGAGGAACACCAGUGGCGAAGGCGGCUACCUGGACCGGUUCUGACGCUGAGGCGCGAAAGCGUGGGUAGCAAACAGG